CCUACGGGUGGCAGCAGUGAGGAAUAUUAGUCAAUGGGCGGAAGUCUGAACCAGCCAAGCAGCGUGAAGGAAGACGGCCCUAUGAGUUGUAAACUGCUUUUGUAAAAGGGUAAACCUGAAUACGUGUAUUUAGUUGUAUGUACUGUAUGAAUAAGGAUAGGCUAACUCCGUGCCAGCAGCCGCGGUAAUACGGAGGAUCCGAGCGUUAUCCGGAUUUAUUGGGUUUAAAGGGAGCGUAGGUGGAUUGUUAAGUUAGAGGUGAAAUGUCGCGGCUCAACUCGGGAAUUGCCUUUGAUACUGUAGACCUAGAGAGUAGAUGCGGUAGGCGGAAUGUAUGGUGUAGCGGUGAAAUGCUUAGAGAUCAUGCAGAACACCGAUUGCGAAGGCAGCUUACUAAUCUGUAUCUGACGUUGAUGCACGAAAGCGUGGGUAGCAAACAGGAUUAGAUACCCCUGUAGUC
Molecule: ribosomal RNA, 460 nt
Filed under: uncultured bacterium
Lineage: Bacteria
Description: partial 16S ribosomal RNA
Rfam family: Bacterial small subunit ribosomal RNA
Source: RNAcentral